Molecule: ribosomal RNA, 240 nt
Filed under: Kladothrips sterni
Lineage: Eukaryota; Metazoa; Arthropoda; Insecta; Thysanoptera; Phlaeothripidae
Description: partial 16S ribosomal RNA
Source: RNAcentral
UAAGUAUNACCUGCCCGGUGUAAAUUUUAAACGGCUAUAUAAUAAUAUUAAAGUAGCGUAGUAAAUUGUCAUUUAAUUAAUGAAUAUAAUGAAGGUAUUAUGAAUUAAAUUCUGUCUUUAAGAAAUAAAAUAAAAUUAAUAAUAUAGUGAAAAAUCUUAAUUAUUUUUAAAAGACGAUAAGACCCUAUAGAACUUAUUUAAAACUUUAAAUUUGCUGGGGAAGUAAAAAUAAAAAAGAAA